RNAcentral lists this ribosomal RNA (253 nucleotides) under uncultured bacterium. RNAcentral describes it as "partial 16S ribosomal RNA". It matches the Rfam family "Bacterial small subunit ribosomal RNA", at positions 524 to 776 of the family's 1533-position model. The record is from RNAcentral.
GACAGAGGGUGCAAACGUUGUUCGGAUUUACUGGGCGUAAAGCGCGUGUAGGCGGCUUUGCAAGUCGGAUGUGAAAGCCCACGGCUCAACCGUGGAAGUGCAUCCGAAACUGCAUGGCUUGAGUCUCGGAGAGGAAGGUGGAAUGCUUGGUGUAGAGGUGAAAUUCGUAGAUAUCAAGCAGAACACCUGCGGCGAAGGCGGCCUUCUGGACGAUGACUGACGCUGAGGUGCGAAAGCGUGGGGAGCAAACAGG